AUGCGAUACUUGGUGUGAAUUGCAGAAUCUCGUGAACCAUUGAGUCUUUGAACGCAAGUUGUGCCCGAGGCCUUGUGGCCGAGGGCACGCCUGCUUGGGUGUCAUGGCAUCGCCGCCUCUGCUCCAUGCCCUGUCAUGGCCGAGCGCGGAAAUUGGCCCCGUGUGCCCUCGGGCACAGUCGGCCGAAGAGCGGGUAGUCUGCAGUCGUCGGGCACGACGGGCGUUGGUCGCCGUGAGCGGGAACCGAACGUCGUCCCCGUCGUCGUUUUCGGACGAACCCUCAAGAGACCCUGCGUGAUUGCGGCACCGGGCGAAAGAAAGAAAGCGCCGUGUCCGUCAAUCAACUUGUGGCCCCAAGUCAGGCGAGGCCACCCGCCGAGUUUAAGCAUAUCAAUAAG
Molecule: ribosomal RNA, 398 nt
Filed under: Zingiber niveum
Lineage: Eukaryota; Viridiplantae; Streptophyta; Magnoliopsida; Zingiberales; Zingiberaceae
Description: eukaryotic LSU rRNA
Rfam family: 5.8S ribosomal RNA (bases 1-104)
Source: RNAcentral